RNAcentral lists this non-coding RNA (21 nucleotides) under Caenorhabditis elegans. Lineage: Eukaryota; Metazoa; Nematoda; Chromadorea; Rhabditida; Rhabditidae. The record is from RNAcentral.
UGUCUUUUCUUUUUUUGAAUA